Perca fluviatilis (European perch) is the source of this 1884-nucleotide long non-coding RNA. RefSeq lists it as uncharacterized. NCBI's taxonomy places the organism in Eukaryota, Metazoa, Chordata, Actinopteri, Perciformes, Percidae. The transcript is spliced from 2 exons. The record is from RefSeq and is a predicted model, not a curated record.
UAGCUUAGCGCAGGGGCUAAUGGAUCCGAAGUGACCCUAGGGUGAAAUUACUCCGAACCAUCACUUUAAGCUGUAUGUGGUAGCACACGGUAGAUUGGACGAGCUUGAAAAAUGUGGCUAGAGGACCAAAAGGUCAUACCGUCUAGUAUUCACAGGAGUAAAAGAAAUGUAUCUUGUUUAACAUAAUUUAGCUGCUGUCUGUCUCUCAGGAUUUGGAUCAUUUGGGCUUUAAAGCCUGUGAAGCCACAUUCAAGGACCACUGAAGCUGCUCCUGUUGUUUGGGCACUGUCUGGAGCAACGGAAUGAUCAAAAGCUGUAAAGCUGCUUUCUUUAAUGCUGGCACCACUCCAUACAGCUUUUCUUGCUUACUCACAUCCCCAAGUAGGGCAGAAGCCCCAAAGGUUUUCUGCAAGUUUUACAUAUGGGUAAUAUUUAUAAAGUAACCAAACAGGAGAAAAACUUUAAGGCAGAUAGAAAUUGAAAUAGAACCACUACAGAUAUUAGAGCAGCAGAUGUGUUUUUAGAUUAUUAUAAAGAACUAGAAAACAUACAUUCACCCAAGCUGCACAACCCCCUAAAUGUGCUGUAAAAUCCACAAAAUAUGCAUUAAGAGUUGCAUCAAACUACACUGUGACACUUAUGAGAUGCAUUUUCAUCCGAAUAAGUGCAGUAGUUCUAUAGAAAGUGAGGAAGGUAAAAAAAAAAAAAAAAAAAGGUCUUAUCUGCAAUGUUAAUAGGUCAUUAAAAAAAAAGUACUGGAUGCACACCAGAAAUAAAUCAUUUAUUUCUUAUAUGGCCAAACUUUACACGUUUUAACAUAUCCUGCUAAUUAGAUACAAACAAUAUGAGAAACAAGCAAAGAGAAGGGAAUGCCAGCAUAAUCUUUUUGGCAGAAGUAACAAAUAAUAUUAUCUAAGUAUUAUAGAAUAAAUCUGCACAUUUCUAACAAAGGAGCAGCUGUGCAGCUCUCAUUUGCUGCAUAACUACCCCUAAUCAGGUCCUGGGUUAUACCUUUAAAAUGUAAUAAUGUUCAUUCUUCAAUAUAACUAUAACUUUUUGCAGAUCUAAUUGAUCAACCAGCAUAUGAAUGCAUCAUUAAACUCAAAUCAAAGAGAGAAAAUCCUUUAGUGGAAAAAAACCCCCACCAAAAGUCAAUCAAAUGUAUCCAUUACUUUUUGAGACAUCUGACCAACAAACACACCCGGGUUGAAAAUAAUCUUAAAGUAACACAAAUAUUUAUUGUUGUCAUUCUACCAUUUAGGUCAUUAGGGAGUGGUAAUUUAUUGUCACAGUGGACUGGGAAUUACAUUUGUCACACUGUGGAUAUCUCAGUUUGGAAUUAAACUCUUCAGAUAUAUUCUCAAAUUUAAGAGUACCUUUUAGUAUUUGUACUCCAAGUGUUUACUUGAGCCUCUGAGAAACACCAAAUAAUUGAGCGUUUACUGUUUUGGAGUACUUGGGAGUAUUAGAGCCUAUUUUGACUUGCUCUACAGGCAGGUUUAGUGACUUGAUAUGAAGUAUUUGAGGGUUUAACAUGUGUGUCUGUCUGUCUUGUCUUGGUUAUAAUAUCUGUCUCAUUCAGGCAUGCAGUGCCCACCUACUCUGUAUAGAGUUUUUUUAAACUCUCCAUGAAGCCUUCAUGGACCUUCUGUACAUGGUUUAUACACACUCUGUGAUUGUGGAGCUGCUGUUCUCAGUGCUGCUGGUGUUUUCUUUCUGGUCGUACAAGACUGAUUAUAUUAUCUCAUAUUAUUUCUCUCUAGUUUUCAUAUUGGUUUUUCUUGUGUCUGUGGUGCUUCUGUGCUGUGAUGAGCCUAUAUGACGCCAACAAUGCUUUUAUCUUUUCUAUUUCUCUUGUAAUAAAAAGCUUUUUCAUGGAGUAUA